AGAGUUUGAUCCUGGCUCAGGAUGAACGCUAGCUACAGGCUUAACACAUGCAAGUCGAGGGGCAGCAUCAUCAAAGCUUGCUUUGAUGGAUGGCGACCGGCGCACGGGUGAGUAACACGUAUCCAACCUGCCGACAACACUGGGAUAGCCUUUCGAAAGAAAGAUUAAUACCGGAUGGCAUAAUUAUUCCGCAUGGGAUAAUUAUUAAAGAAUUUCGGUUGUCGAUGGGGAUGCGUUCCAUUAGGCAGUUGGCGGGGUAACGGCCCACCAAACCUACGAUGGAUAGGGGUUCUGAGAGGAAGGUCCCCCACAUUGGAACUGAGACACGGUCCAAACUCCUACGGGAGGCAGCAGUGAGGAAUAUUGGUCAAUGGACGAGAGUCUGAACCAGCCAAGUAGCGUGAAGGAUGACUGCCCUAUGGGUUGUAAACUUCUUUUAUACGGGAAUAAAGUGAGCCACGUGUGGCUUUUUGUAUGUACCGUAUGAAUAAGGAUCGGCUAACUCCGUGCCAGCAGCCGCGGUAAUACGGAGGAUCCGAGCGUUAUCCGGAUUUAUUGGGUUUAAAGGGAGCGUAGGCGGGUUGUUAAGUCAGUUGUGAAAGUUUGCGGCUCAACCGUAAAAUUGCAGUUGAUACUGGCGACCUUGAGUGCAACAGAGGUAGGCGGAAUUCGUGGUGUAGCGGUGAAA
This 688-nucleotide ribosomal RNA is filed under the name uncultured bacterium. RNAcentral describes it as "bacterial SSU rRNA". It matches the Rfam family "Bacterial small subunit ribosomal RNA", at positions 8 to 686 of the family's 1533-position model. The record is from RNAcentral.